GCGGUCAUCGUCUAGUUUGGUUAGGACACUGGCCUUCCAAGCCCGCAACCCGGGUUCAAAUCCCGGUGACCGCA
Molecule: transfer RNA, 74 nt
Filed under: Nitrososphaerota archaeon
Lineage: Archaea; Thermoproteati; Nitrososphaerota
Also listed under: 3 other names
Description: tRNA-Gly
Rfam family: tRNA
About the family: Transfer RNA (tRNA) molecules are approximately 80 nucleotides in length. Their secondary structure includes four short double-helical elements and three loops (D, anti-codon, and T loops). Further hydrogen bonds mediate the characteristic L-shaped molecular structure. tRNAs have two regions of fundamental functional importance: the anti-codon, which is responsible for specific mRNA codon recognition, and the 3' end, to which the tRNAs corresponding amino acid is attached (by aminoacyl-tRNA synthetases). tRNAs cope with the degeneracy of the genetic code in two manners: having more than one tRNA (with a specific anti-codon) for a particular amino acid; and 'wobble' base-pairing, i.e. permitting non-standard base-pairing at the 3rd anti-codon position.
Source: RNAcentral